GUUUGCUUGCUGUGGCGCAAUGGGUCCGUGUGUCUGGCUGUUAAUCACAAAGUUGGUGGUUCGAGACCACCCAGGGAUG
Podarcis lilfordi (Lilford's wall lizard) is the source of this 79-nucleotide non-coding RNA. The record is from the annotation of a GenBank genome assembly. NCBI's taxonomy places the organism in Eukaryota, Metazoa, Chordata, Lepidosauria, Squamata, Lacertidae.